GAGAUUGGAGAGCGAGAUUGGAGAGCGAGAUUGGAGAGCGAGAUUGGAGAGCCUCCUGACAUAAUGUACACCUUUUGGAAGCAGUGGAGCCACAGGAAGCGUCAGACUGAUGGCAUCGCUCGAUGUCCUGUGUGUUGUGUUAUUUUGCACAGUCCAAAUACUCCUUUUACAGGCCGACGUAACGUUACUGUGAUGCUUCGGACUUUGGGUUGACCCAUGAAUUAAGUUGUAACUAUGAAGGGUUCAUUUUAUUUCAGUGUUUUUUUUUUUCUUCCCUUAAUCAUGUGUUUCUCGAAAAGACUGAACACUGGAGUGCAGUUGAAGAUGUCCUGGUUCGGUCCAGUGUUGGGCCAGACGGGCUUAUUUAAAAUAACAUUUUUUUUAAUUCUAUUUUAAUCUCACUGUAAACCGAAUGUUUGAUUUGAUUUUAGAGAAUUGACUUUAAAUACCGCUAGCCAUAGAUGAGUUAUCUUAUUUAGAACGUCAUCAGUAUAAUUCAUGCCAGAUUUUGAUUCGCCGGCUUUUGUUUAAAACGCUUCCAUUGUAGUUGUAUAUGACGUGUGUAGAUACAACCAACCUUGUUGUGUAGCGAAGAUGAUUUGAACAUGAAGCCAUUCUGUAUAACCAACAAUGACUUUAGGGAUGCUGUGACACUGGUUUAGACGUCUCCCGAGCACUGCCUGGGUCCCAGCGCGAGGGCCACUCUCAUGGCAUCCCCUUCCUAAUUCCUGUCUAGGCACACGGACCAUUUCAUACAUGAUGACAAUAUGGAAGGGGGGGGGUCGUCACAGACUGGUUAGAUAAGCGGUAGUGCGGACACUGAAGGAUUUCAAAGCUUGAUUAUAGUGUAAAGCUUUAAACCAUUUAAGUCAUGUUUAAACAAGCCAGUAUCUUACAAAUGUAAGACGUAUCAUUCAGUUUUUAUUGAUUAAGUUUGGUGUGAUUUUUGCAUUGGCAGCAGGUCCUGAAUCACAACGUGGUUUCCACACAUGUCCUUCAGCCUGGCCAUUAGUCUGAAGAAUGCAGUGGGCCUCAUGCAGGAGUGUCUCGUUUUCCCCUAUUCCUUUACUAAACUAUUUAGUUACCUCUGUGUAUAGCUGGGCGUGUGUGUGUGUGUGUGUGUAUAUGUAGUGAAAUACAUGUCUCUAAUAGGGAAGGCAAAGCAUUCCCAGACAGAUUGAGUGGUACAUGAUCAUUUUGAUCACUUGUUAGUCGGACCUUUCAGAACAAGUCUUGUUCAAGUGCAUUCUGUUUUGGACUUCUGUUUCUGAUAUACAGGUAACUGCCGAAACAAAGGACAUCUUGAGUAAAUGAGGGAUACUAAGUACACUAUAUAGACAAAAGUAUGUCAAAAUAGUGGAUUUUUGUCAAUUUUAGCCACACCCAUUGCUGACGGGUGUAUUAAAAAAAUUGCACACUGCCAUGCAAUCUCCAUAGACAAACAUUGUCAGUAGAAUGCCCUUACUGAAAACCUGACUUUCAACGUGACACCCGCCAUAGGAUGCCACCUUUCCAACAAGUCAGUUCGUCAAGUUUAUGAGCUGCCCCAGUCAACUGUAAGUGCUGUUAUUGUGAAGUGGAAACGUCUAGGAGCAACAACGGCUCAGCCGCGAAGUGGUAGGCCACACAAGCUCACAGAACAGGACCUCUGUGUGCUAAAGCGUGGCUCGUUGGGGGCCUAACGCCCUAUUAAGACACUUCAUGUUGGUAUUUUCUUUAUUUGGGCAGUUACCUGUGUAUUCUCUGCAUGGACAGCCAUUGAGUAUACAUAAAUAAGGAUGGCAAUGGAUAGUCCUGGUGCUCUGAGUUAGCAACAUGUAAAGCUUAGCUAUUGGACCACCGGCCUAAUUCUGAUUCCUGUGAUAUUUCAUAACUCCACAAGAAAAGAAUAAGCUAUAAUUCAGUUUUGUGGUACAGAUGUUUUAUCUCUUAACCUGUGUUUUUUGGAAACGAUGAAGGCAAAGUUGGCUCUUAUUUUAUACUAAAUAAAAAUAUAAACGCAACAUGUAACAUUUUCAUUGAUUUUACUGAGUUACAGUUCAAAUAAGGAAAUCAGUACAUUGAAAUACCAUUUUAAGGCCCUAAUCUAUGGAUUUCACAUGACUGGGCAGGGGUGCAACCAUGGGUGGGCCUUGGGAGGGCAUGGGCCCACCCACUGGGGAGCCAGGCCAAGCCAAUCAGAAUGAGUUUUUACAACAAAAGGGCUUUAUAACAGACAGAAAUACUCCUUUCAACAGCUGACCAGGUGGCUGGUCUCUGAUGAUCCCGCAGGUGAAGAAGCCGGAUGUGGAGGUCCUGGACUGGCGUGGUUUACACGUGGUCUGUGGAUGUGGAGGUCCUGGACUGGCGUGGUUUACACGUGGUCUGUGGAUGUGGAGGUCCUGGACUGGCGUGGUUUACACGUGGUCUGUGGAUGUGGAGGUUGGACGUACUAAAAUGAUGUUGGAGGCUUAUGGUAGAGAAAUGAACAUUUUAAUUAUCUGGCAACAGCUUUGGUGGACAUUCCUGUAGUCAGCAUGCCAAUUGCACGCUCCCUCAAAACUUGAGACAUCUGUGGCAUUGUGUUGUGACAAACUGCUCAUUCUAGUGUCCUUUUUAUUGUCACCUUUUGUAAUGAUCAUGCCGUUUUAAUCAGCUUCCUGACAUGCUACACCAGUCCGGUGGAUGGAUUGUCUUGGCUAAGGAGAAGGGCUCACAAACUGGGACGUAAACAAAUUUGAGCACAACAUUUGAGAGAAAUAAGCUUUUUGUGCGUAAUGGAACAAUUCUGAGAUCUUUUAUUCCAGCUCAUGAAACGUGGGACCAACACUUUACAUGUUGCAUGUUAUAUUUUUGUUCUGUAAAGAACUGGUACUCUAAUCAUUGUUUUGCCAUUAUAUCACCGACGUUGUGUAGCAGUAGUUGGCGACUAAUUUAUUUUAAAUUUCAUUUCAUCUGGUUAACCAAAGACAUUUUCAUAUUUGACCUAAUGCUUUUUGGUGUCUUAUUGGAACUGAUAUGAAAAGGUUAUUUUUUUGGAGAUGAUGCGAUGGAGAAUCAUUGCUUGAUUUGAAGAUUCAUCUGAGGUCCAUGUUUUUAAAGAUGUGAUGUCACUGGUCUGAGAGAUGAUUCCUCCGAGGUCCAUGUUUUUAAAGAUGUGAUGUCACUGGUCUGAGAGAUGAUUCCUCCGAGGUCCAUGUUUUUAAAGAUGUGAUGUCACUGGUCUGAGAGAUGAUUCAUCCGAGGUCCAUGUUUUUAAAGAUGUGAUGUCACUGGUCUGAGAGAUGAUUCAUCCGAGGUCCAUGUUUUUAAAGAUGUGAUGUCACUGGUCUGAGAGAUGAUUCCUCCGAGGUCCAUGUUUUUAAAGAUGUGAUGUCACUGGUCUGAGAGAUGAUUCAUCCGAGGUCCAUGUUUUUAAAGAUGUGAUGUCACUGGUCUGAGAGAUGAUUCAUCCGAGGUCCAUGUUUUUAAAGAUGUGAUGUCACUGGUCUGAGAGAUGAUUCAUCCGAGGUCCAUGUUUUUAAAGAUGUGAUGUCACUGGUCUGAGAGAUGAUUCAUCCGAGGUCCAUGUUUUUAAAGAUGUGAUGUCACUGGUCUGAGAGAUGAUUCAUCCGAGGUCCAUGUUUUUAAAGAUGUCACCAUUUCUAAAGUCUUACAUUUCCUCUAGCUCUACUGGAAUCUGAGUUUGAGUCUUACUCAAACAAGAGAGCCGUGUGUGUGUGUGUGUGUGUGUGUGUGUGUGUGUGUGUGUGUGUGUGUGUGUGUGAGAGAGAGAGAGAGAAUACCCCCGUCAAUGUUAUCAAUAUUGCCUAACUGAAAGGUUAUCUAGAAGUUGUUUUACUUUGCUUGUGUGUUUCUACAGAUACAAGUAUGAUGAUCUGUAAUGUAUAAAGAACCAACAUCAUGUUGUGUACUGCCAAUUACCACCAGUCACUUUGGAUAGUAGGGGAAAUGAAUGUCCUUAAUAAUAAUAAUGCUUAGUAAUGUGAGGUUGGUUCUAACUUUUAUCUUUCGCUUUCCGUCUGUCUUUAUUUAGUAUAUUUUGUAGCAGCACACAGCAAGGAUGAUUUUAUUGUGCCGUUGUAUUUUGUUGACCGUCAGAUGUAGAGACCUAACAGACGCAUGAAACUGCUGCCUUCGAGAAAUCAGCUUUUAUAGGAAUAAAUGUUUUUCAAACAA
This is a long non-coding RNA of Oncorhynchus nerka (sockeye salmon), 4158 nucleotides long. RefSeq lists it as uncharacterized. The transcript has 2 exons. The record is from RefSeq and is a predicted model, not a curated record. NCBI's taxonomy places the organism in Eukaryota, Metazoa, Chordata, Actinopteri, Salmoniformes, Salmonidae.